RNAcentral lists this long non-coding RNA (1460 nucleotides) under Sus scrofa (pig). RNAcentral's name for it is "lncRNA (ENSSSCG00055004994.1, ENSSSCG00070028148.1)". The record is from RNAcentral. Lineage: Eukaryota; Metazoa; Chordata; Mammalia; Artiodactyla; Suidae.
CUCAGGUCACUGCUGUGACAUGGGUUCAAACCCUGGCCCAGGAAUUUCUAAAUGCUACGGGCAAAGCCAAAACAAAAAUUACACUUCAAUGAAUCUAAGCCAAAAUUUUAAAAAAACAGAUACUAUAUAGUGAAAAAAUCAAAAUCAGGAUAUAAAUAUAAUAUUAAGACAACAAAAGGACCAGUAGUGAGUAUGUAUAUAAUAUAUGUGAACUCAGGGUGGGGGGGUAUAUGUAUAUGAAGAAGAGUUAAAUCCUCAUCAUCCAGGGUGGCUAAUCAAUAGUUAACAGCCAACAUUGUGGUGGCUGUGGUUUAGGCCAGCAGCUGCAGCUCUGAUUCAACCCCAGGCCUAGAACUUUCAUAUGCCACAGGUACAGCCCUAAAAAAGAAAAAAGAAAGAAAGAAAAGAAAAGAUAAUGGCUAAAACUUAAAAAUAAAAAAGCUAGGAGCUCUCUUAUAGCAGGUUGAGGAUUCGGCAUUGUCACUGCAGCAGCUGGGAUCACUAUUAUGGGGCAGACUCAAUCUCCUGCCCAGGAACAUGCUGCAGGUGUGGCCAAAAAAAAAAAAAAAAAGAGGUUAUACUAGCAUAUAAUUUAAAUAUAUGGAGUUAACAGAAUAAUCAAAUGGAAAUUCAAAGUGAUUUAGUUGCCUUUGAGAGUGGAAAACUAAGGGGUAAGGGAAAUCAGACAUGUGAGUUUUUUCUUUUUUCUUUUUUUUCUUUUUUUGGUCUUUUUGCCUUUUUAGGGCCGAACCCAUGGCAUAUGGCCCUAGAAAUGACAAAACAAACAAACAAAAAAAGUACAAAAAUGGGGAUGGGGAGAUUUCUAAAUAUGAAUGAAAAGCAUAUUCCCUACAUCCAAAUGUUAUUGUAAAUAAACAAUAGGCAGCCAUCUAGUAUAAAACUGUAACAUUGUCAGCUGGAAUCUCUGAGACUGGGGCACUGUUUACAGAAGGAAUAAGUCUUUAGUUCCACCCCUACCAAUGGAUAAGACUGAAACUACUGCACUACCAAAACCUGAAAUGUAGUAUAACAAAGAUGGGUCCUAACUAUCUAUGCUUCCACCAAACUGUAGCCUUCCUCUAACCUACACUGUAAGUCUAUAUGACAAGCCCUGAAUCCUGUUAGAACAGGAGUCUUGUCCUGAACAUCAAUCCUUUAGUUCAGGUCCUGCUCCAAUCUGAACCAACCAUCAGGGGACCACAAUGCUAAUAUCUGUCCACCCGAAUAACUGCCUAGAGGUUUCCUGCUGAAAUGCUCUGACUACCAUUUUGGAUUCCAACCCUCUGAAGCCCAAGCCAGAUCGGGCAUAUAUCUGCUCUGUCCCCUAUCCCCAAACAUGAAUUUUAGGCCAGUGGUUUUCAAGCCUUUAGAAGAGUUUAUACUCUUAAAAGUACUAAAGAUCCAAAGAGCUUUAGUUAAUUUAUUCACUACCUUAGAAAGUAAACUUAAAAACUUUUAAA